Long non-coding RNA from Pangasianodon hypophthalmus (striped catfish), 1629 nucleotides. RefSeq lists it as uncharacterized. The record is from RefSeq and is a predicted model, not a curated record. The transcript is spliced from 3 exons. NCBI's taxonomy places the organism in Eukaryota, Metazoa, Chordata, Actinopteri, Siluriformes, Pangasiidae.
AGUAAGAAUUUCAUUGUAUGGUCAAAACCAUUGUGUUUUCACCCUGCAUAUGACAAUAAACCUCUUGAAUCUUCAAUUUUUAUUUAUUUUUAUUUUUUUUGGUGAUUCCUUGAAAUUAGACUCUUCUCAUGUAAAAUUUCUAAUUAUUUUAUUACUACUCCUUGCAAAAUUUGCACUAACAAUCAGCUGAACAAAGAAUCAAAUAAACAAAACCUUUCAUUCAGUACAGAAACUCUUGUUUCUUCCGCCAUUUUGAAAGUUUAGGACUCGGAAACUCGGCUAUCAAAAUUAUCUCCGAGUUUCCCAGUCGUAAUUACGACUUAAGGGGUUGUUCAUUUGCAACUUCUUAUUGGGAAACUCGUAUUUACGAUAAUUUAUUUAGCACGUGACGGCAGCAUUGAUGCAGUGUUCAAGUGCUGGCCGUGACUGAAUCCGGGAGAACUGUGCGUUAAAGUGGUGUCUGAGGUUGUCCGAGUCGCAUCGUCCUCACCAGCAGGGGACGCUUUUGUCCAACCUCAUGAAGUCCAGGGUCGCGGGUGGCCUGGAGCCAAUCCCAGGGGACUCGGGGCACAAGGCAGGGGUCACCCUGGACGGGGUGCCAAAGCAUCGCCUCUACAUUUAUAUCCUAAUCUACUUAUGGAACAUUACUGCCAAAAUUUACAAAAUUCUAAGUUUACAAUGGGAAAUGAGUUCUUACUGAUUAUCAGUGAAAAAAGUUCACUUUUAGCAUUUAAACAUGAGCCUCAUUAUUGUCUCUUCACUCGACUGAUCUCUGUUUGUGCUAACAUUGGUGUGAAAUAAAAAUAAAACCUGAUUAAUUCACUCACUUUUGUUCAGUUGAAUAAAUUUCUUGUUAUUUAUGUCUUGUUAUUACUUCACAAAUAUCUGUCUGCUGUUAUCAUUACAGCGUGUGUGAGUGCUCUUCUCUGCUUUGAGGACAGACAUUUUGAGAGCCGGUAUCUGAUCUCAAACUGACUCGUUUAGCCUUAUGUGCAUUUCGUUGUGGCAUGUAACUUUGUAACAACUUGAGCAAAUUGUGAGAAAACCACACUUAGAGAUCAAGGUUUUAGAUAUCUUUUGGCAAGAAAGUCAACACCAAGGGUUAGACUUAGCCUAACUAAAAUAAAUUUAGUAAUAAAUAUUUUUAUUUUUAAAAAAAAAUAUUUUUAAUAUUUUUAUUUUUAAUAUUAGAGGCCUCCUGCCUCAUGUUUACUCAAUCCCUGAGCAACUUAUUAUCAUAUUAAUAAUAAUAUAUUACAUUUUAUUUAUAUUUCACUUUUCAGUAACCAGUUCAUUCUUACUUUUUUAGUGAGCAAGAAGUGAACAUGGAAGGAGAGAGAAAAUAAAAAUAGUACAGCACAGAAAAAAAAGACAGUAAUGAGAAAUGAGGAAGAGAGAAAGAAAAUGAAAGACAAUGGCAUGCUGUGAGCAUUAAUAAUUAAGGAUGAGGACAGUUAAUAAGUUAGAUAAAUUAAUAUUUUACUAAGAGAAGGCAUGGAAAGAAGAAUUAGUUCUUGAUGUAUCAAAGAAAAGUGACUAGAUGUCCUGCAAUUAUAUUUAUUUAUUUAUUUAUUUAUUUUCAGUGUGGAGUAAUCUACCAGGAAGUAAAGCCAGUGUUUUGAAGUAUAG